ACAUAAUACAGUACAAUAAUAUCUGUGACGAUGAGCAGUUGUUAAUGCUAAAAGCUAUGAUUAAUUGUUCUCACUCAGAAGAAAUAAUGUGUUCAUGUGAGGAAGACUGAAAAAAAAUAAAACCUCUUCCUCUUUAAUUUCAAGUGAGCUUUAUGGAGAGGAAGAAUUGGCCUCUAUGCAGAACAGGAGGAAACGUGCUGAAUGUAUGAGAGGAACUGAGGGGUGAAAUUAAAGAAGGGAACUCAAGGACUUUGGCUCCUCACCGAGUGCUUAACAAUAUCUCCAUCAUCAGCAUGUCAUCACUCAAUUAAAAGACCAAAGGCCAUUCCAGGAAGAUCUUGUGGUCGUCCUUCUAACCUUCUGUCGUGUUCAUGCAUGUGUGUCUGUAUUCAAUGAACAAUAGGCACUCCUUCAAUUGUUUUGUUAUCAGUCCCCCGCCAUGCCCCCCCCGACAUAUACA
Molecule: long non-coding RNA, 460 nt
Organism: Syngnathus acus (greater pipefish)
Lineage: Eukaryota; Metazoa; Chordata; Actinopteri; Syngnathiformes; Syngnathidae
Exons: 3
Source: RefSeq, a predicted model, not a curated record